GAAAUGCGAUAAGUAAUGUGAAUUGCAGAAUUCCGUGAAUCAUCGAAUCUUUGAUCGCACAUUGCGCCCUCUGGUAUUCCGGGGGGCAUGCCUGUCCGAGCGUCAUUGCUGCCCUCAAGCACGGCUUGUGUGUUGGGCUUCCGUCCCUGGCAACGGGGACGGGCCCAAAAGGCAGUGGCGGCACCAUGUCUGGUCCUCGAGCGUAUGGGGCUUUGUCACCCGCUCCCGUAGGUCCAGCUGGCAGCUAGCCUCGCAACCAAUCUUUUUAACCAGGUUGACCUCGGAUCAGGUAGGGAUACCCGCUGAACUUAAGC
Molecule: unclassified non-coding RNA, 314 nt
Filed under: plant metagenome
Description: partial contains 5.8S ribosomal RNA, internal transcribed spacer 2, and large subunit ribosomal RNA
Rfam family: 5.8S ribosomal RNA (bases 1-105)
Source: RNAcentral